UCCUCGUUAACCGAGGCAGUCUCGUAUGAAAAAUACAACAUACGACGAGGGUUGCGCUCGUUGCGGGACUUAACCCAACAUCUCACGACACGAGCUGACGACGACCAUGCAACACCUGUCACCGGUCCAGCAAACUGACUCCCGCGUUUCUGCGGGAUACGACCGGGAUGUCAAGCCCUGGUAAGGUUCUUCGCUUAGCGUCGAAUUAAACCACACGCUCCACCGCUUGUGCGGCCCCCCGUCAAUUCCUUUGAGUUUUAGCCUUGCGGCCGUACUCCCCAGGCGGGGCACUUAACGCGUUAGCUUCGACACCCAAAGGGUCUAUGCCUCGGAUGCCUAGUGCCCAUCGUUUACGGCGUGGACUAC
RNAcentral lists this unclassified non-coding RNA (366 nucleotides) under uncultured bacterium. Its description in RNAcentral is "contains 16S-23S intergenic spacer region". The record is from RNAcentral.